This 254-nucleotide ribosomal RNA is filed under the name uncultured bacterium. Its description in RNAcentral is "partial 16S ribosomal RNA". It matches the Rfam family "Bacterial small subunit ribosomal RNA", at positions 524 to 776 of the family's 1533-position model. The record is from RNAcentral.
UACGGAGGGUGCGAGCGUUGUCCGGAAUCAUUGGGCGUAAAGGGCGCGUAGGUGGCCCGGUCAGUUCGUGGUGAAAGCGCGGGGCUCAACCCUGCGUCGGCCAUGAAUACUGCUGCGGCUGGAGCACUGUAGAGGCAGGCGGAAUUCCGGGUGUAGCGGUGGAAUGCGUAGAGAUCGGGAAGAACGCCGGCGGCGAAAGCGACUCUCUGGUCGGAAUCUGACGCUGAGGUGCGAAAGCUAGGGGAGCAAACGGG